UCCUUUUUUUGUUUUUAUUACCGUCCAACAACACCUUGCACACAUUGACUGUCCCACACCAGAAUGACAGUACAAUAGGAAAAGACAUUAAUGUGCAGAUUCCUUGUGCAAUGUGUACAAUGUCUCAACUUAUGAAAGUAAUUCAGGAUGGUCAAUAGAGGGUGUAAUGUUAAAGAGCACCCAUGAUGGUGAAUCCUAUGGUGUGUGUGUGUAUGUGUCAGGCGCGUCGCACCCGUGGGGGAUGUGGGUGUUUUAACACCCACACUUUUCCUGGUGAGAGGGUUCAACACCCACACUUUUUCUGCAGUUUUUCCACAGUUUUGCACAAACGCCUUGCGUCGAACUGCCGCCGUAGCUACGUCGUAGGCUGUGUGUAGCGAUUAUAUUGCCUGAGUGAACAGAACUGCGUCCAUAGCAACGCUCUGUUUUUCAUGGCAACGGUGUGUUAUACUUCGCAGCGGUCUUAACAGACCGCAUUCUACACUGGAAUUCAACCAAUAGUCCAGUACUUUUAAGAAAUUAUCAAGAUGCAGAAAAGAAAGAGGCAGGAGAAUAUUGACACUUUUUUCAAGAGAAAUCCUGUAAGUGAAGUUGAAAGCUGAACGUUGAAAAUGUUUGACAUUAAACAACAGUAGCCUAUUUCCAUUAGAUAUUGUUUGCAUUUACUUCAUGAUAUUACUUUUCAAUAUUCACUGAGAUUUGCUAGUGCCACAGCUGUAACUGUUUGGCCCUAUUCCUUUACCACUGCCCAUUAUUACCACUUUAGGAGAGGAAGUUGCUGGAGGCAUCAGUUUCAGAGAGAGCACAGGAAGGUUCUUAAUAUAUUUUGUUUGUAUAUUUGUAGUUUGUAACAAAAAUAAUUUCCCCCUGGGAUUAUUAAAGUAUUUCUGAUACAUGUUGUACACCUCUGUCAUUGUAUCCAUCGUUUCUAUUGUUAAUAAACAAAUCACAUCCAUCCCC
Clupea harengus (Atlantic herring) is the source of this 960-nucleotide long non-coding RNA. RefSeq lists it as uncharacterized. Lineage: Eukaryota; Metazoa; Chordata; Actinopteri; Clupeiformes; Clupeidae. The record is from RefSeq and is a predicted model, not a curated record. The transcript is spliced from 2 exons.